Solanum pennellii is the source of this 1962-nucleotide long non-coding RNA. RefSeq lists it as uncharacterized. The transcript is spliced from 2 exons. Lineage: Eukaryota; Viridiplantae; Streptophyta; Magnoliopsida; Solanales; Solanaceae. The record is from RefSeq and is a predicted model, not a curated record.
CUUCCCCCCUCUCUCCAAGCCGCCGCCUCUCUCCCUCUUUCUCCCCUUUCCGCCUUCCUCCCUUUCUCCCUCUCUUCGCCUCACCCUCUCUCUGCCUACAUCUUCUCUCUCCCUUUUCCGGCAGCCGCCUCCCCUCUCCCGUCGCUCCUCCUCCCCUCUCUCUCUCCCCGGCGACCCCCCUCCUUCUCUCCUCUUCUUCCCCUCUUUCUCCCUCCAUUCUUCUCCUCUGCCCGCCUCUUACUCUUCUUCCGCUCUUCCCCUCUCUCUUGAGCAGCCGUCGCUCCUCCUCCCUUCGCUCUCCUCGGUGACCCCCUCCUUCUCUCCUCUUCUCCCUCUCGUUUUGCUCUUCUCUCCCUUUCCCUCUUCUUCCCCUCUUUAUCCCUCCGUUCUUCUCCUCUCUCUGCCUCCCUCUUCUCUUCUCCCCCUCUUUCCCUCCUCUCUCCCCUCCCGUCUCUUCUCUUCCCCUUCCUCUUCUCCUUUCUCUUUUUUUUUUUGCAGGUGCCAGCAACUGCAGCAGUGAUACAGCAGCAGCCUACAAGAGAAACAGAAACACCACCAGCCAAAAAAUAACGAGCUCCGACGGAGCUUCCUCUAUGAGAUUUCGAAGUUAUUUAAAACUGAUCUGCUACAGUUCCGUUCAGGGAUAGAAAUCUGAUUGAUAUUCACAAAAGUUGGUCUAUUUUUGCUUCAUGCUUUAAGGAAAAUUGGUCAAUUUUUACUACUUCAUGGUUAUGCUAAAAAUCUUUUUUAUUCUUUCUUGAUAUUUCUACAUUGUUAAUUUGGCUUGAUAAUUGUUCCUCCAUAUCUAUCAGGAUCCCAUAAAUAUAAUAAUUUAGCUAAUUGCUUGGUCAAAUUGCGCUUUUGCUUUGAUUUAGAUUUCUGCUUAUUAUUAACUUUUUUUUUGCUUACCCAUAAUUAAUUUAGUUUAGUUUAUUGGACCCUCUUGGCUAUGGUUAGUUUGAUUAACGAAUUGAAGAGUGUGCUACUUCUUUCCUUAUUAUUUUCCUAUUUGUUAAUUCUAAUAUUGAUUGAUAGUAUAUAAAUUGUUUCCCUUUUCCUUUUUAAAAGAUAUAAUUAUUUUAUUUCCUUGUGGCUAAUAGUGUUUAAUUAUGGCAGCCCAACUCUUGCUUGCUCUUAUUUGGUAAAAAAUAUCCUUACACUUGGUAAAAUAAAUACAUAAAAAAAAAGUGAUAAAAUAUAUGAUUUGACUCUUCUUUAUUUAAGGGGAAAAUAAUAUUUCUCUUCCUAAUUUAUUCUUGCUUAUAUUUGGAAGUGAUAUAUUUUUAUUUUGGUUGAUUUGAACCUCCUUUAAAAUAAGGAAAAUAGUAUAUUGAUUGAUUCCUUAAAAUAUUUCUUUUCGUUAUUUGUUUCCCCCUCCUAGCUAUAUAAUUAAGACCCCCUCCUUUCAUUAAAUCGAUCAACUCAUACACUCAUUCACUCUCAAUCACAAGUUCUCUCAUCACUCUUCCUUCUCUCAUUGCUCUCUUGCUACUCUCACAAUACAUUAAGAUUCCGGUAAACAUUCAAGUGUUCUUCUUCGCUAUUUUGCUAUUUUGCUUUUGUUCGAGUAAAGGUUGGAUCAACUUGUUUUCAUUGCUACCAUUCCUAAUCUACUUAACCGGUUAGUAUUCGGAAUUAGCAUUUACAUUAUUUUUUUUGUAUUUGUACAUUUGUGUGAGUUCAUUGCUCUAUUCCUUUGUUAUGUAUAAGUUGUUAAACAAUUGCAUAUUGUCUCACCUUGACUAAUAAAUGUGAUUACCUGUGUAGUUAUUUGAGUGCUUUGACAGGUUUCAAACUUGAGUUCAAGUUGAAGAUUAGCCAUGAAGAAAGAGUUAUUUGUUUAUUUGAAUCUAUAUUUUUUCUUCUUAUUUUAUUGGAAUGUUGUAACAUUUGUAUAACUCUAAAGCUCAUAUAUAUAAAUUUAUUUGGGGGAUCGUCUAGGGGAAGGAGAUUUACGUGCUA